Acinonyx jubatus (cheetah) is the source of this 835-nucleotide long non-coding RNA. RefSeq lists it as uncharacterized. The transcript is spliced from 4 exons. The record is from RefSeq and is a predicted model, not a curated record. Lineage: Eukaryota; Metazoa; Chordata; Mammalia; Carnivora; Felidae.
CGCGCUCCCGCCGCGGCGCGCCGGCUGCAAACUUUAGCAUCUCCCGGUCUGGCAUCCGCUGGAGGGAAGAGAGAGAGAAGCGUCUCCCGUGGCUUCUCCUGCAAAGAGGCACGUCUGAAGCACUGAGGGAAGCUCUUUGCUGCAGCCCAGCGGCCACUGGUAGAUCUUGGAAAGUGGAGGCUGGAGGCGCCGCUUAGAGAGGGUCCCAUGGAGGAGCAGCACCCAGGCCUGGCGGUGGCCGAGGCACCUUUGGUACCUGGAGCUUGUUUUAUCGGCCAGAAGCCUUGAGGUGUGACAGCUCUGGUACCUGCUAAAGCAGCUCAGAGAUGGCUGAAGAGUCUCCCGCAAAGCAUUGACACUGGUUUCAGGAACGGAGGUCACAGUGAUGGUCAAGGUGCCCUGAGCCCUUAUUCUGUUCAAUUGUAUUCCUCGUCUCCAUCAAUCCGUGCAGCAGCCUUUCAGAUAGAUACCGUUACUGACCCAUUUGACAGAUGGGUCAGGUGGAAACUGAGGUCACGCCUCUAUCAAAGGAGAGCCGGGAUUUGAACAAAGUGCCCUGAUUUCAGCACCAUGCUUCUAACCACGGCCAGCACCCUACAGUCUGACACCCAGCUGGCCUGAGACUCCGUGGGAAGUGCUUUAGGGAAGAGGUGGAUGUGUCACUCCCCUCUCUGAGCCUUCAUUCCCUGAGGCCCGCAAAACAGGGGUGAAGCACGAAGCUCACCUCAGCUGGGUUGUUCAUUUGGGGGAUAUGAGAUAAUCCAAGUGACCUGUCCAGCAAGAAGCCUGGAAUCCAGAAAGGGAUUUUUUAACUCAAGGAUGAAUGAAUAAAUAA